Molecule: ribosomal RNA, 426 nt
Filed under: uncultured bacterium
Lineage: Bacteria
Description: partial 16S ribosomal RNA
Rfam family: Bacterial small subunit ribosomal RNA
Source: RNAcentral
GUUAGGAAUCUUCCACAAUGGGGGCAACCCUGAUGGAGCAACACUGCGUGCUGGAUGAAGGCCUUCGGGUCGUAAACAGCUUUUGUAUACGAAGAAUAUGACGGUAAUAUACGAAUAAGGGUCGGCUAACUACGUGCCAGCAGCCGCGGUCAUACGUAGGACCCAAGCGUUAUCCGGAGUGACUGGGCGUAAAGAGUUGCGUAGGCGGCUUAUUAAGCGAGUAGUGAAAUCUGGUGGCUCAACCAUCAACACAUUGCUCGAACUGAUAGGCUUGAGAAUGGUAGAGGUAGUUGGAAUUUCUUGUGUAGGAGUGAAAUCCGUAGAUAUAAGAAGGAACACCAAUGGCGUAGGCAGACUACUGGACCAUUUCUGACGCUGAGGCACGAAAGCGUGGGGAGCGAACCGGAUUAGAAACCCCGGUAGUCC